AUCAAUCUAAUGUCCUGUCUAAGAAUUCUUAAUUUGAAAAUGACAAAGUAAUCUCUGAGCUUAAAAGAGUAGAAUUCUGAAGAACCCAUACCAAGAUCAGAUGAGAGAGGCUAGUACUGAUGCUAGCCAAAAUAAGAAUUUAGAAAAAGAAGUUAGUACUAAGACUAAUCCAAUAGAAGAACUAAGCUCGAAAUUGGUACUGAUGCUAGUUUCAAUUUGAGUGAAAAUGAUAAAAACAAG
RNAcentral lists this long non-coding RNA (240 nucleotides) under Elaeis guineensis (African oil palm). RNAcentral's name for it is "long non-coding RNA (EGUI_LNC016867)". The record is from RNAcentral. Lineage: Eukaryota; Viridiplantae; Streptophyta; Magnoliopsida; Arecales; Arecaceae.